UAUUUUUUGGGAGCAGCUGCUGAGGCUGUUUAGUGUUUUGUAAUAUAUGCUGGUAGUCACAGCUUGGCAGCAGCAGCUGCUUGGACAGGAAGCGCGACAGCGCAACUGCUGACGCUUCGUUUGUUGGCCAAGUUAAGCGACGAUCGCUGCUUUUGGCUUGUUUUUUCGUUCUUGACAAGGUCCAAGAGAAAACAGUUGACUCAGCUCCAGCAGACACACUCACAUAGAAAUUAUGAUUAGCAGCUGGCAAGUUCCUCGUCGCGAGAGUGUGGGAAAAUGCAAUUGGAGCAGCGGCAAUUUAAAUUGUGGGAAAAGCUGGCGGAAAUGCUUUUGCUAGCCGGAUGCUGGUCAAUACCAUAAGCUGGACUAAUCCAACAGUUAUGCGCGGCAGACGCCUGCGCAAACCGGUUAACUGGUUUACCUUUGGCCAAGGAUGUUUGGAAAAGCCGCCUGAACAACUUUUCCAAAUGCAAAGCUAAAUAAAGAAACUCGUUUGCAAAAAAAAAAACAACGACAAAUGGCAAAGCGGCGAGAUA
Drosophila grimshawi is the source of this 536-nucleotide long non-coding RNA. RefSeq lists it as uncharacterized. The transcript is spliced from 3 exons. NCBI's taxonomy places the organism in Eukaryota, Metazoa, Arthropoda, Insecta, Diptera, Drosophilidae. The record is from RefSeq and is a predicted model, not a curated record.